GGAGACGUGGCAGAGCGGACGAAUGCGCCGCACUCGAAAUGCGGUAAGUCUUAACGGGCUUCGGAGGUUCGAAUCCUCCCGUCUCCG
This 87-nucleotide transfer RNA is filed under the name Candidatus Andersenbacteria bacterium RIFCSPHIGHO2_02_FULL_46_16. RNAcentral describes it as "tRNA-Ser". It matches the Rfam family "tRNA". Rfam says of the family: Transfer RNA (tRNA) molecules are approximately 80 nucleotides in length. RNAcentral also lists the same sequence under 4 other names. Lineage: Bacteria; Candidatus Anderseniibacteriota. The record is from RNAcentral.